UGAACAGUUCAGAAGAAUUCG
RNAcentral lists this non-coding RNA (21 nucleotides) under Caenorhabditis elegans. Lineage: Eukaryota; Metazoa; Nematoda; Chromadorea; Rhabditida; Rhabditidae. The record is from RNAcentral.